This 431-nucleotide ribosomal RNA is filed under the name uncultured Alphaproteobacteria bacterium. Its description in RNAcentral is "bacterial SSU rRNA". It matches the Rfam family "Bacterial small subunit ribosomal RNA", at positions 29 to 505 of the family's 1533-position model. Lineage: Bacteria; Pseudomonadati; Pseudomonadota; Alphaproteobacteria. The record is from RNAcentral.
AACGAACGCUGGCGGCAGGCCUAACACAUGCAAGUCGAACGGACCCUUCGGGGUUAGUGGCGCACGGGUGCGGAACACGUGGGAAUAUGCCCUUGGGUAAGGAAUAAUAUCUGGAAACGGAUACUAAUACCUUAUAAUGACUUCGGUCCAAAGAUUUAUCGCCCAAGGAUUAGCCCGCGUCUGAUUAGAUAGUUGGUGAGGUAAUGGCUCACCAAGUCUACGAUCAGUAGGGGGUCUGAGAGGAUGAUCCCCCACACUGGGACUGAGACACGGCCCAGACUCCUACGGGAGGCAGCAGUGAGGAAUAUUGCACAAUGGAGGAAACUCUGAUGCAGCCAUGCCGCGUGAGUGAAGAAGGCCUUAGGGUUGUAAAGCUCUUUCAAUAGUGAAGAUAAUGACGGUAGCUAUAGAAGAAGCCCCGGCUAAAUUCG